RNAcentral lists this ribosomal RNA (333 nucleotides) under uncultured bacterium. RNAcentral describes it as "bacterial SSU rRNA". It matches the Rfam family "Bacterial small subunit ribosomal RNA", at positions 27 to 352 of the family's 1533-position model. The record is from RNAcentral.
GGACGAACGCUGGCGGCGUGCUUAACACAUGCAAGUCGAACGAUCUCCAACCAGUCGCAAGACUGGGGAAGAGAUAGUGGCGAACGGGUGAGUAACACGUGAGCAACCUGCCUCGAAGACUGGGAUAACAGCGGGAAACCGCUGCUAAUACCGGAUACCCCCAUUGGAUCGCAUGGUUCGAUGAGGAAAUGAAUUUUGCUUCGAGAGGGGCUCGCGGGCUAUCAGCUUGUUGGUGGGGUAACGGCCCACCAAGGCGACGACGGCUAGCUGGUCUGAGAGGACGACCCCGCACAUUGGAACUGAGACACGGUCCAGACUCCUACGGGAGGCAGC